This 253-nucleotide ribosomal RNA is filed under the name uncultured prokaryote. Its description in RNAcentral is "partial 16S ribosomal RNA". It matches the Rfam family "Bacterial small subunit ribosomal RNA", at positions 524 to 776 of the family's 1533-position model. The record is from RNAcentral.
UACGUAGGCAGCGAGCGUUGUUCGGAGUUACUGGGCGUAAAGAGUGCGUAGGCGGUUUUCUAAGUUUGGUGUGAAAUCUCCCGGCUUAACUGGGAGGGUGCGCCGAAAACUGGAAGGCUUGAGUAUGGGAGAGGUAAGCGGAAUUCCUGGUGUAGCGGUGAAAUGCGUAGAUAUCGGGAAGAACACCGGUGGCGAAGGCGGCUCGCUGGGCCAUUGCUGACGCUGAGGCGCGAAAGCGUGGGGAGCGAACAGG